AUUGAACGCUGGCGGCAUGCUCUACACAUGCAAGUCGAACGGUAACAGGCCGCAAGGUGCUGACGAGUGGCGAACGGGUGAGUAAUGCAUCGGAACGUGCCCAGUCGUGGGGGAUAACGCAGCGAAAGCUGUGCUAAUACCGCAUACGAUCUAUGGAUGAAAGCGGGGGACCGUAAGGCCUCGCGCGAUUGGAGCGGCCGAUGUCAGAUUAGGUAGUUGGUGGGGUAAAGGCUCACCAAGCCAACGAUCUGUAGCUGGUCUGAGAGGACGACCAGCCAAACUGGGACUGAGACACGGCCCAGACUCCUACGGGAGGCAGCAGUGGGGAAUUUUGGACAAUGGGCGCAAGCCUGAUCCAGCAAUGCCGCGUGCAGGAAGAAGGCCUUCGGGUUGUAAACUGCUUUUGUACGGAACGAAAAGGUUUGGGUUAAUACCCUGGGCCGAUGACGGUACCGUAAGAAUAAGCACCGGCUAACUACGUGCCAGCCGCCGCUGUAA
Molecule: ribosomal RNA, 498 nt
Filed under: uncultured bacterium
Lineage: Bacteria
Description: partial 16S ribosomal RNA
Rfam family: Bacterial small subunit ribosomal RNA
Source: RNAcentral